UGGAAUCGCUAGUAAUCGCAAAUCAGAAUGUUGCGGUGAAUACGUUCCCGGGUCUUGUACACACCGCCCGUCACACCAUGGGAGUCGGAUAUGCCCGAAGCCAGUGACCUAACCGCAAGGAAGGAGCUGUCGAAGGUGGAGCCGAUAACUGGGGUGAAGUCGUAACAAGGUAAC
This 174-nucleotide ribosomal RNA is filed under the name uncultured bacterium. RNAcentral describes it as "partial 16S ribosomal RNA". It matches the Rfam family "Bacterial small subunit ribosomal RNA", at positions 1327 to 1500 of the family's 1533-position model. The record is from RNAcentral.